AGCCGGAUCCUUGAGGGAUGAAAGCGGGGGACCUUCGGGCCUCGCGCGAUUGGAGCGGCCGAUGGCAGAUUAGGUAUUUGGUGGGAUAAAAGCUUACCAAGCCGACGAUCUGUAGCUGGUCUGAGAGGACGACCAGCCACACUGGGACUGAGACACGGCCCAAACUCCUACGGGAGGCAGCAGUGGGGAAUUUUGGACAAUGGGCGAAAGCCUGAUCCAACAAUGCCGCGUGCAGGAUGAAGGCCUUCGGGUUGUAAACUGCUUUUGUACGGAACGAAAAAGCUCCUUCUAAUACAGGGGGCCCAUGACU
This 310-nucleotide ribosomal RNA is filed under the name Delftia tsuruhatensis. RNAcentral's name for it is "bacterial SSU rRNA". It matches the Rfam family "Bacterial small subunit ribosomal RNA", at positions 186 to 474 of the family's 1533-position model. Lineage: Bacteria; Pseudomonadati; Pseudomonadota; Betaproteobacteria; Burkholderiales; Comamonadaceae. The record is from RNAcentral.